UGGCGGCGUGGUUAAGACAUGCAAGUCGAACGAGAGAAUUGCUAGCUUGCUAAUAAUUCUCUAGUGGCGCACGGGUGAGUAACACGUGAGUAACCUGCCCCCGAGAGCGGGAUAGCCCUGGGAAACUGGGAUUAAUACCGCAUAGUAUCGAAAGAUUAAAGCAGCAAUGCGCUUGGGGAUGGGCUCGCGGCCUAUUAGUUAGUUGGUGAGGUAACGGCUCACCAAGGCGAUGACGGGUAGCCGGUCUGAGAGGAUGUCCGGCCACACUGGAACUGAGACACGGUCCAGACACCUACGGGUGGCAGCAGUCGAGAAUCAUUCACAAUGGGGGAAACCCUGAUGGUGCGACGCCGCGUGGGGGAAUGAAGGUCUUCGGAUUGUAAACCCCUGUCAUGUGGGAGCAAAUUAAAAAGAUAGUACCACAAGAGGAAGAGACGGCUAACUCUGUGCCAGCAGCCGCGGUAAUACAGAGGUCUCAAGCGUUGUUCGGAAUCACUGGGCGUAAAGCGUGCGUAGGCUGUUUCGUAAGUCGUGUGUGAAAGGCGCGGGCUCAACCCGCGGACGGCACAUGAUACUGCGAGACUAGAGUAAUGGAGGGGGAACCGGAAUUCACGGUGUAGCA
RNAcentral lists this ribosomal RNA (622 nucleotides) under Akkermansia muciniphila. RNAcentral's name for it is "bacterial SSU rRNA". It matches the Rfam family "Bacterial small subunit ribosomal RNA", at positions 37 to 680 of the family's 1533-position model. The record is from RNAcentral. Lineage: Bacteria; Pseudomonadati; Verrucomicrobiota; Verrucomicrobiia; Verrucomicrobiales; Akkermansiaceae.